AACGAACGCUGGCGGCAGGCCUAACACAUGCAAGUCGAGCGAGGACUUCGGUUCUAGCGGCGGACGGGUUAGUAACGCGUGGGAGCGUACCCUUUUCUACGGAAUAGCCUCGGGAAACUGAGAGUAAUACCGUAUAUGCCCUUAGGGGGAAAGAUUUAUCGGAGAAGGAUCGGCCCGCGUUAGAUUAGAUAGUUGGUGGGGUAAUGGCCUACCAAGUCUACGAUCUAUAGCUGGUUUGAGAGGAUGAUCAGCAACACUGGGACUGAGACACGGCCCAGACUCCUACGGGAGGCAGCAGUGGGGAAUCUUAGACAAUGGGCGCAAGCCUGAUCUAGCCAUGCCGCGUGAGUGAUGAAGGCCUUAGGGUCGUAAAGCUCUUUCGCCUGUGAAGAUAAUGACUGUAGCAGGUAAAGAAACCCCGGCUAACUCCGUGCCAGCAGCCGCGGUAAUACGGAGGGGGUUAGCGUUGUUCGGAAUUACUGGGCGUAAAGCGCGCGUAGGCGGACAUUUAAGUCAGAGGUGAAAUCCCAGGGCUCAACCCUGGAACUGCCUUUGAUACUGGGUGUCUUGAGUUCGAGAGAGGUGAGUGGAAUUCCGAGUGUAGAGGUGAAAUUCGUAGAUAUUCGGAGGAACACCAGUGGCGAAGGCGGCUCACUGGCUCGAUACUGACGCUGAGGUGCGAAAGUGUGGGGAGCAAACAGGAUUAGAUACCCUGGUAGUCCACACCGUAAACGACGAAUGCCAGUCGUCGGGCAGUAUACUGUUCGGUGACACACCUAACGGAUUAAGCAUUCCGCCUGGGGAGUACGGUCGCAAGAUUA
RNAcentral lists this ribosomal RNA (821 nucleotides) under uncultured bacterium. RNAcentral's name for it is "bacterial SSU rRNA". It matches the Rfam family "Bacterial small subunit ribosomal RNA", at positions 28 to 896 of the family's 1533-position model. The record is from RNAcentral.